RNAcentral lists this ribosomal RNA (570 nucleotides) under Sporobolomyces roseus. Its description in RNAcentral is "eukaryotic LSU rRNA". It matches the Rfam family "Eukaryotic large subunit ribosomal RNA", at positions 72 to 656 of the family's 3401-position model. Lineage: Eukaryota; Fungi; Basidiomycota; Microbotryomycetes; Sporidiobolales; Sporidiobolaceae. The record is from RNAcentral.
GGAUUCCCCUAGUAGCGGCGAGCGAAGCGGGAAAAGCUCAAAUUUGUAAUCUGGCGUCUACGACGUCCGAGUUGUAAUCUCGAGAAGUGUUUUCCGUGAUAGACCGCAUACAAGUCUCUUGGAACAGAGCGUCACAGUGGUGAGAACCCAGUACACGAUGCGGAUGCCUAUUACUUUGUGAUACACUUUCGAAGAGUCGAGUUGUUUGGGAAUGCAGCUCAAAUUGGGUGGUAAAUUCCAUCUAAAGCUAAAUAUUGGCGAGAGACCGAUAGCGAACAAGUACCGUGAGGGAAAGAUGAAAAGCACUUUGGAAAGAGAGUUAACAGUACGUGAAAUUGUUGGAAGGGAAACACAUGCAGCCAGACUUGCUAUUCGGGGCAACUCGAUUGGCAGGCCCGCAUCAGUUUUUCGGGGCGGAAAAUCAUAGAGAGAAGGUAGCAGUUUCGGCUGUGUUAUAGCUCUUUAUUGGAUUCGCCCUGGGGGACUGAGGAACGCAGCGUGCUUUUAGCAUAAGCUUCGGCUUAUCCACGCUUAGGAUGCGGGUGUAAUGGCUGUAUAUGACCCGUCUUG